AUUGAACGCUGGCGGCAGGCCUAACACAUGCAAGUCGAACGGUAACAGGAAGAAUCUUGCUUCUUUGCUGACGAGUGGCGGACGGGUGAGUAAUGUCUGGGAAACUGCCUGAUGGAGGGGGAUAACUACUGGAAACGGUAGCUAAUACCGCAUAACGUCGCAAGACCAAAAAGGGGGACCUUCGGGCCUCUUGCCAUCGGAUGUGCCCAGAUGGGAUUAGCUAGUAGGUGGGGUAACGGCUCACCUAGGCGACGAUCCCUAGCUGGUCUGAGAGGAUGACCAGCCACACUGGAACUGAGACACGGUCCAGACUCCUACGGGAGGCAGCAGUGGGGAAUAUUGCACAAUGGGCGCAAGCCUGAUGCAGCCAUGCCGCGUGUAUGAAGAGGGCCUUCGGGUUGUAAAGUACUUUCAGCGGGGAGGAAGGGAGUAAAGUUAAUACCUUGGCUCAUUGACGUUACCCGCAGAAGAAGCACCGGCUAACUCCGUG
Molecule: ribosomal RNA, 490 nt
Filed under: uncultured bacterium
Lineage: Bacteria
Description: partial 16S ribosomal RNA
Rfam family: Bacterial small subunit ribosomal RNA
Source: RNAcentral